Molecule: long non-coding RNA, 997 nt
Organism: Daphnia magna
Lineage: Eukaryota; Metazoa; Arthropoda; Branchiopoda; Diplostraca; Daphniidae
Exons: 4
Source: RefSeq, a predicted model, not a curated record
AGCUUUUUAUUGUGUUUCCUAAUUUAAGUAGAAAGCCUGAUUUCACAUUUUGUACUAGCAUGCUUUUUAUACCGUUAGAUGGCUUGCCUCUAUGUGGCGUCCUCGCUUGACAAUGAAAUGUUACGUUAAGUUUGCUCGUUAAAAUUCUGAAUAUGACAGUGGAUCUAAAAAAUAGUUCAAAUCUUUCCUGUCCAAUUCAAACAAACAGUGGCAGUGAGAGCUAAUGAUAGCAAAAUAUUACAAAAUCUGUUGUCAAGCUAGUGUUGAGCAAAGAGAAGCAACAGAGAAUUUGCCAAAUGACGAGGGAAAAAGCUGCCCAAUUUAAUACUUGGAUGGACCUUGGAUCUUCUGGUUUAGUUAAUCUUGCUGUUGAAGCAAAAAUGUUCAAGGAUCUCUGUAAUCACUGAUUCUGGAUGUUUGAAGCAAGGUCCAGCUGUAGGAACAAGUUGGGCAAGAUAUAAAUGUUCUGUCAACAAGGCUAUUCAAUCGAGAAUCUAUUUUUCAGGUUUGACAAUUCAAACCUAAUUAAUCCUCAGGGAGGAUUAAUUAUCCCCCUACCUGUAAAGUCGUGUAAAGUCGUCCCCAGUUUCCGUCAGUUACGUAUAAGUGUGUAGUCUACAGGGCGGAUUUUGCUCUAAUACUGGCAAUUUUAUAUGAUAUUAUCUCAAACUAAUAAUAGUACAUAACAUUGCAUAUGCCGAACCAUAACGAAGUCGAUUACAUUCACUCUUUGCUCGCUAAGAAUUUUGUACUUGGCCCGACGUGACAAACUCGUGAUCUAUUAACAAGGAAUCAACUUAAACUGAUCCUUGUCGAUGAUCUGCUGUGACACUCUGGUAACUGGUAUGGCAGUUGAUGGAUGUGAAUGAAAAUUUGAAGAAAUGAGUUUUGGUAACAAUUAAAUAAGAAAACUAAGAUUUCUAUCUAAAACGUAAAUCGUCGUAAAACUGUUUUUAUUUUCUCUUAAAACACUAAAAUAUAGAAAACUAUUGACACA